This 4394-nucleotide long non-coding RNA is filed under the name Brassica napus (rape). RNAcentral's name for it is "long non-coding RNA (BNAP_LNC005657)". The record is from RNAcentral. Lineage: Eukaryota; Viridiplantae; Streptophyta; Magnoliopsida; Brassicales; Brassicaceae.
UCUGAACAACCUUCUGGGGACAAUCAGAAUGUCAACCUGAAUGCAGAAUAUAUUGAACUUGACGAGGAUAUUGAUGUGGUUGAAGCUAACGGAUCAGGGAACAGGGCUUCACAACCUGGCAGACCUUUCCAAGAGACUAGUGUUAGAACAGGUUCUUCUGUUGAUGCAUCCUGCAAGAGGAAGGCUAUUGAAGGCAGUAGUAGUGGUCAGUCUUCUUUAGGUGGUUACCAUCACGGAGAAAGCAGCAGUUCGUGGACCCCAGUUUCUACCGAGUAUAGGUCAGUAAAUGGUCUAAACAUAUCUGGAUCUCGAGGAGAGGUCUCUGCUACUGCUUCAAAUUUUCUUGUAAGCUCAAGUAGAAAUACAUGUGUCAGGAGUAAUCCCUCUGAAACUGUAAGCCCAGCUGCCUUUUCUGCGGGAACUGUUGUCAGGCGACCUGUCCCUCCACCGCACUCUAACUUAUCAAGACUUGUACCAUCAGAUCAUCAUGGACAAUCCCUAGGAAAUAUCUUCUCACGGAACCCAAAUCCUCCUGCACCUGUUUCAAGGAAUAUGCUACCACCAUUUCAGUGGACUGAGAGCUCACUAGCGGGUGAAUCAUUCAACUCCACCGUGCCCACUGAGAGAAAUAAUCUUCAUCUAGAAGACACCAGGUCAAGAAGCAUAACAGCAGCGAGUGUUCUAGAGAAUCCCUUGUUUAAUCCAGCUCCUGACCUCAGCAGAAAUGCUAACCUGAGUAUUGCAUCAUCAUCAUCAGUGUCCAGGACAGGCUCAAGCACAGGUGUUCAAGCACCAUCUUCUAAUCUAGCGUGGACGCCUCACCGGAAUUUACCACCUCACCAAAGAAGAAGAUCGGAACUUGCCCAUAGGUCAUUGAUUUCUUCCCUUUCUGCAGAUGCGAGAUCUGGUGAUCAUCAUCCACCACUUCGUUCGUUGGCUCCUCCUGCCCCUCAGGAUGGGCUUGUGCUUCAGCCUGGUGGUGGUGAUAGUAGCCGGGCAUACUCGAGAGCAGGUCUGUGGCUUGAUAGACAAGUGGAUAGUUUGGUUGGGGCUCCUCAAUCUUUAAGGGCUUUGGCAGCUGCAAGCAGAGGAAGAAACAGACUUAUGGUAUCCCAGGUCAGUUCAUACAAGUUCGGUUAACCUUGAUGGUUUUUGUUAGACUGACAGUGAGUCUCUUUGAAACAGAUGCAGAAUAUCUUGGAAGUGAUGCGGAGGGAUCCGAAUCAUAACUUGCGGCUUGAGGUUAGUUUCUCCUUGGGGCGGGCUCAGUAGAAUAAACAGUGUUCUAAAAUUACAAGUGAACUUGUCUUCUCUCUGUCUCUGUUGAACUUUAAAAAGUAAUGUGAAUUGCUUGAUUGUCCAGGACGUUAUGCUUCUGAAACCUUAAUUAAAAAAUUAGUAAACAAAAAUAAUGGUAAUUAUAUAUGAUAUUUUUAAUUAAAUAAAAGUGCUUUGUAAUUUUAUUUUGUAAAAAUUAACUAAAAACGACACAUAGGAAAACCUAAGUAUCAAUAUUUACUUGUUCUUGGUACUGAAAACGUUGGUGAGGAACUGAGGAUGUAUGUGGAAUCACUGGAGAAGAAGAUGCCUAAGUCAAUUAGUGGUCAUGAAAUAUAUUGAGUGGUUGUCGACUGGGUUGUGUUAACAAACACAUAGAAAACUUAAUUAAUGGGCCUUCGAGUGAAUAUAUUUUUUUGUUCUUAGUGGCAAGAAUAUUUUGUUGAAGUAUCAAUAUUUGAUUGGCCUGACUUUUCUUUAAUUGUUACUAUCUAAGUUCCAAUUUUUGAUAUUUUUAUAUAACAGAAAUUACAAAAGUCUGUAUUGUGAGUUUCAACUAUUCACAUCCAUAGGACCAUAUAACAUGAUGUUUCACGGACUAAACAUUACCAACAUAUUUAUUUUACUAUAUACUUUGCUAUAUAUAUAUUUAUCAAACAUUUUUAUAUUCCAAAAUAAAAGAGCGAAAUUACAUUUAUUUUCAUAAUUAAAAAAUAUUGCGUAUGAAAUAUGUUUUAGUAUUUACAUAAUUUCAAACACAAAAAAAUUACUUCUAUAGUUUUCAUUAAUUGUGUUUGGGUUUAUAGAAUUAAAACCAAAAAUUCAUUAUGAUUUUUUCCAUAAAUGAAAUAAAAAUAUGCAUGACCAGAAUGAAAUUGCCACUUGAAGUUGUUUCUUUUUUUUUUUUUUGAAACACGGAAUUGUGUCUAAAAAAUCAAGUUAUGUAGGGGGUGUGAACCUGAUCAUUUGUAUUUUAGGCUAAAAAAAAUUAUAUAAAGAAUAAAUAAAAUUGAUUGCGAAUUAUUUAUAACAUGAUACACUUUCUACAAAACGUUUUUUUUAUAGAUUUUGUUUUUUAAUUUUAAAUUCAUAAGCUGAUAAUCAGUGCCGGUCAUAAAAAUUUAAGACCAAGUUUGUAAACUUGAGAUUUUACCAUUAGACCUAAAAAAACGAUUGAAAAUAUGUGGCCGAAAAUAUAUUUAUUGUGAAGCGGCCAAAAACCACUGAUUUCUUUGUUUAAGUCCAAGGGCCGGCUCUGCUGAUAAUCUCUGGGAGUAGAAAAUUUAAGUAAAUAAUAUUUCUAAUGAACAAAUGUCAUCUUGUGUUUAUUUUUAGUUGAGAAUCUAAUGAAAUUAAAGAAAAAAGAAAGGCAAGGAUAUGAAAAGAUAAGCAAUCAGAAAGCACACCAAAUGACCAAAGUUACAUGGUAACAAAAGGAAAGAAACCAAAUCUGUUGGUUUAGUUUGGUUCGGUUUAGUUAAAUUCAAAAAACAAAGAGAGGAAAAUUGAAAAACGAGGGACGUGUGAAGAAGCAAAGGCUAAGAACUUGCCAGCUUGCUGCUGUCUCCUCUUCAAACAAUUUAAUUUAUAGUAUAAAAAAAUUUUUAAUAAGUUUUUUUGUUGGUAUUCGUUGAUUAAGGCUAAGCUUAUUGAAUUCUCCUCUUUGGAAACUGCUCUUAUGACUGACCAUUUUGCUUUCUUUCUUUCUUUAUUUUUCCUUUUCAUAAAAAAAUAUACAUUUUUAAGUUUUCCUAACGUGAAUUAAAACAUUGCCGUCUCUUCCUCUGCCUAAUAAUCAAUCCUCCCUUCCUCUUCUCUCUCUGCAACAAAGCGGUACGUUCUCUCUCUCUCUUCCUCAAGUUUUGUUCUUUCUUCUCAUCCCAAGAUUAAUUUAGAUCGGUUAUGUUUUUCUAUUUUCUUUUUAUUGUUGGGUUUUGAUUUUGUCAUAUCUGGGACUUAUCAUUCGGAAUUGAGAAGAAUCUCUGUUGAAACCGAUUGUUCUAAAGUUGGCUCCUUUAUGUAUAGAUCUCUAAUCAACUUUUGUUUGUUUUGAUAGAAAGCUCUCUUCUUUACCCUUUAUUGAUGAUAUCUUCAUCUUCUGAUUCUGUCUUGUGGGUUGUUUGCCUGACCGACCGACCACCAUGCCUUUAUCUUCCUUCAAGCUGUUUGCUAGCUCUUGGGACUUUGUGACACUUAACUUCCUUUGCUUGUUGUUUUGUCAACCUCUGUCUCUAGGUGUCAAAUUGAUACUUCAUUCACCUCUUAUGAAGUCAUAUGUCAUCUGUUAUGAAUUGUGUUUUACUUGGCCAACUAAUCUAUGAGUCAGUGAGUUGUUUUAAGCUAUUGUGUGAUUUUAUUUGUAAUUACAGUUCUAGGAACUAUGUUUUCAUUGAGAGCAUUUGAGUGUGUUUAUGAGUUUCUUCCUUUUUCAUUCACAAUUUAACUUUUCUUUGUUACUGAAUGAUUUAUACUGUCUUUGUUCUUUUUUUCAGUCUCCACGUUAGGCAGGCACAUUGCUAGAGGAGCAAAGAAAGUCUCGCGAGUCCUCCUCUUCUCCCAAGUGUAACUGUGGUUAAACUUUAGCCGAGAUGCAGGGAGAGAGGGCCAGUCUCGGCUAUUUAUCAGAGGGCUUAAACUUUGAGCAUGGUUCCACCUCCAGUAAUGGUUUGAUGGAUCACUGGGACGGUCUUGGUGAUAACGACUUGCAGGACUACAUGAUUGCAAAUUCUGAAUCUCUCGCUCACUCGGUUUACCCUGAACAACAUAGGUUUAGCCUCGGCGAGGAGGCUAGCUCUAGUGGCACGAAGAAUGAAGCUUCCGGUCACAAUGAGCAACUAAGAAAUGAAAUAAUUGAUUUAGACUCAGAUUCUGAACAACCUUCUGGGGACAAUCAGAAUGUCAACCUGAAUGCAGAAUAUAUUGAACUUGACGAGGAUAUUGAUGUGGUUGAAGCUAACGGAUCAGGGAACAGGGCUUCACAACCUGGCAGACCUUUCCAAGAGACUAGUGUUAGAACAGGUUCUUCUGUUGAUGCAUCCUGCAAGAGGAAGGCUAUUGAAGGCAGUAGUAGUGGUCAGUCUUCUUUAGGUGGUUACCAUCACGGAGAAAGCAGCAGU